GACAGAGGAUGCAAGCGUUAUCCGGAAUGAUUGGGCGUAAAGCGUCUGUAGGUGGCUUUUUAAGUCUACCGUCAAAUCCCAGGGCUUAACCCUGGACAGGCGGUGGAAACUGCCAAGCUGGAGUACGGUAGGGGCAGGGGGAAUUUCCGGUGGAGCGGUGAAAUGCGUAGAGAUCGGAAAGAACACCAACGGCGAAAGCACUCUGCUGGGCCGACACUGACACUGAGAGACGAAAGCUAGGGGAGCGAAUGGG
Molecule: ribosomal RNA, 253 nt
Filed under: uncultured bacterium
Lineage: Bacteria
Description: partial 16S ribosomal RNA
Rfam family: Bacterial small subunit ribosomal RNA
Source: RNAcentral